RNAcentral lists this unclassified non-coding RNA (603 nucleotides) under Trichosporon faecale. Lineage: Eukaryota; Fungi; Basidiomycota; Tremellomycetes; Trichosporonales; Trichosporonaceae. The record is from RNAcentral.
UGAAUAGAACGGAGUGCUGUAAGCAGUAGAGUAGCCUUGUUGCUACGAUCUGCUGAGGCUCAGCUUUUGUUCUACAGAUUUGUCCUUUUGGACUCUCUAUGCUUGGCAUGGACUGGGGGGCGACUCCAGCAUUCUAAUCAUAGACAGUUUAACGAGACAAGUAGUAGGUGCAGUAGAGAAGUAGGUAGAUCAAGAACGAAGGCUAUGGGAUCAAAAACGGAGGAGGCAGCAGCUAGAGAGUUGGACCUUGGGUGAAAUUCUCAAAGUUGCAAGUCGGAAGGAUGGACUGGGGGAGACAAGGGGUCUCUAGCAGGGCGGUUGCGGACUUGGACGGGCCAGCUUGAAGAGAGCAAGGUCUAGAGGGAGCAAGACGUGGGUGAGUGAGGCUGGGGGCUGAGUGACAAGUCAAGAGUUGAGAGCUGGCAGGCCUGGGACUGUACCGGUGAGCAUGCUAGGUGCUGCAAAGACCAAGUAUGAGUGCUGGUGAGACCAAGUCUGCCAGCUGUCUUGUGUGUCGUUCCAGGAGGGACUGGCUUAUAGGGGCUGUUCUGACAUACUGUCAUCUACGGCCAUAGGAUCCAGAAAAUACCGCAUCCCGUCCGA